CUUUGAGUCAGGUUCCAUGGUAAAGCACAGAGGUAGGUGAGGUAUGAAAACAUCCCGUAACUGACCCAUAAGAACUUUUGAUACUUCCUCUUGUUGGCUGGAACGUUUCCACAUAGGUCAAAAAGAGGAAAGGAGAAAGUCCCAGGUCGCCAGUGGUUGUAGAGCUUGGAACAACCUCCAUAUACAGAGAACAUAAAGUCCUUUGACUCAGGACAAAAUGGAAGCUGAAAGUUCCUUAAAGAGGCUGCCUAAUUGACACUCUCAUCAGUCACCAAUAAAAGGGAAGGCGUGGCAGAAGACUCGAGGAUGUCAGAAAGAAGCACAACCUGAGUAGAGGUGAGGCAGAGACCAGGGUUGCCCAAGGUCAUGGCAAGAGACGAGGUGGAGGGAGCCCUCCCUUUCUGACUGCUGGCUCAGUGGUCAGUCCACGCUGACCAAAAGAGGCUGCUUGUACUAUGCAAGUAAAAUAUGAACGCCCAGGUUGUUGGGGAGCAAGAAGACACUCCGAAUACGAGGUGGAAAGGGGGAGCCGGGAGCAGGAGAAACCGGACUUCCCUUUUAUGUGUUGCUUCAUGCCUCUGCUGGUGAACAGCAGGAGGAGAGAGAAAUGGCUGACUCCAAACCCACAGUUCCUGCCCUGGAGGUUUGUUUUGACGUCUGAGGCGAAGAGAUCUUCCCAGGAGGAGGCCGAGGGAACACUACAGGCGAAAUGGCACCCUACCCUCAUGUCAACAGCCUCUCGAUUUAGCUGAUGACCGUUUUUGUCUCAUCCAAGAAAACUUCAGAGUCGGUCUAUGCACCCACUCUCCCAACCCACCCAGCCAGCCAGGAUGCUCUUCUGGAGCUAGCCCAGCUGACAGAAUCAGAGCAAACCACCCCCUGGAGGACACUCCGGAGGUCAUCGCAGCCAGCCCCCUGCCUCCAGGCAGGUCUCCCAUAAAUCGUCCUCGACAGAGACUGCCUCGUUGGAGGCCCUUUGCUCGGAGCACCCUGAGCAGCUGAGUAAAGUUUUGUGCUGACUCCGUAG
This 1027-nucleotide long non-coding RNA is filed under the name Bos indicus x Bos taurus (hybrid cattle). RNAcentral's name for it is "lncRNA (ENSBIXG00000014782.1)". Lineage: Eukaryota; Metazoa; Chordata; Mammalia; Artiodactyla; Bovidae. The record is from RNAcentral.